Molecule: ribosomal RNA, 1140 nt
Filed under: Triticum aestivum (bread wheat)
Lineage: Eukaryota; Viridiplantae; Streptophyta; Magnoliopsida; Poales; Poaceae
Description: partial small subunit ribosomal RNA
Source: RNAcentral
AUGUCUGUCAACGCUAUGGAGUUGGUGUGUUGGAACGUCAGAGGCCUUAACAACCCGGCCAAGAGGAAGGCUCUUAGAGGAUUUGUUGACUCGGUGAACGCGACGAUUGUAUGUAUUUUAGAAACCAAGCUAGAGGUAAUGAACAUUUUUGUAAUCCUGCAAUGCAUGGGGCCAAACUAUGAUGGUUUUACCUAUUUACCGGCGUCGGAGACGAGGGGUGGCAUCUUUGUUGCUUGGGACACCACUCGAGUGAUGGUUACUAACUUUGUCAAUGACUCUCAUUGCAUCACGGGGUAUGUCUCGCCUAAGGAGGGGACACCUUGGUGGCUUACCGUAGUAUAUGGUCCGCAAGAGGAUGAACAUAAGAUCAAUUUCUUGAAUGAGCUCUCGGAGAGAAGAUCGCUCUGUCCGGGGCCAUGGCUUGUGGUUGGGGACUUUAAUCUUAUCCUAUACGCGGCGGAUAAGAAUAACUCCAAUUUAGACCGGAGAAUGAUGGGGAAAUUCAAGCGUUUCGUGGAUAACAACGCGCUCAAGGAGCUAUUUUUGCAUGGGCGAAAGUUCACGUGGAGUAACGAAAGGGAGACGCCCACGCUUACCAAGAUCGACCGUGCGUUCGUUUCAGUGGAUUGGGAGAUAGAUCACCAGGAUUGUUUGUUGCAAGCCCUGUCCACGGAGUAUUCCGAUCAUUGCCCAUUGCAUCUCACACUCCAUGAGCCAAUGCACUAUAAAAAGAGGUUCCGCUUCGAGAAGUUUUGGGUUAAAAUGGAGGGUUUUCUGGAUAUCGUAAAGGAGGCAUGGGUUUGUGACCCCGAUAUCACGGAUCCUUUCUUGAGGCUGGACAUGUUACUUCGCAACACGGCUAGAGCCCUUGCCGCUUGGGGACAAAGAGAGAUUGGUAAUAUCAAGUUGCAGAUCGCCAUUGCAAACAUUGUUAUCUUGAGGUUCGACUGCGCCAUGGAAAAUCGUAGGCUCACGGAGGAGGAGAGAUGGCUAAGAAGAACUCUGAAGCAACUGGUACUUGGGUUGGCAUCGUUAGAGAGAACCAUUGUGAGACAAAGGUCUAGAAUAUCUUGGCUUCAAGAAGGGGAUGCUAACACUCGCUUGUUUCAUUUGGUGGCGAAUGGGAGGCGUAUGAAGAAC